AACGAGCGCUGGCGGCAGGCUUAACACAUGCAAGUCGAACGCACCUUUCGGGGUGAGUGGCAGACGGGUGAGUAACGCGUGGGAAUCUACCCUUCUCUACGGGAUAGCUCCGGGAAACUGGAAUUAAUACCGUAUACGUCCUGAGGGAGAAAGAUUUAUCGGGGAAGGAUGAGCCCGCGUUGGAUUAGCUAGUUGGUGGGGUAAAGGCCUACCAAGGCGACGAUCCAUAGCUGGUCUAAGAGGAUGAUCAGCCACAUUGGGACUGAGACACGGCCCAAACUCCUACGGGAGGCAGCAGUGGGGAAUAUUGGACAAUGGGCGCAAGCCUGAUCCAGCCAUGCCGCGUGAGUGAUGAAGGCCCUAGGGUUGUAAAGCUCUUUCAGUGGGGACGAUAAUGACGGUACCCACAGAAGAAGCCCCGGCUAACUUCGUG
RNAcentral lists this ribosomal RNA (433 nucleotides) under uncultured bacterium. Its description in RNAcentral is "partial 16S ribosomal RNA". It matches the Rfam family "Bacterial small subunit ribosomal RNA", at positions 29 to 507 of the family's 1533-position model. The record is from RNAcentral.